GGGCGAGUGGCGAAAUUGGUAUACGCACCGCACUCAGAAUGCGGCGGGUAACACCGUGUGGGUUCGAAUCCCUCCUCGCCCACCA
This 85-nucleotide transfer RNA is filed under the name uncultured archaeon. Its description in RNAcentral is "tRNA-Ser(cag)". It matches the Rfam family "tRNA". Rfam says of the family: Transfer RNA (tRNA) molecules are approximately 80 nucleotides in length. Their secondary structure includes four short double-helical elements and three loops (D, anti-codon, and T loops). Further hydrogen bonds mediate the characteristic L-shaped molecular structure. tRNAs have two regions of fundamental functional importance: the anti-codon, which is responsible for specific mRNA codon recognition, and the 3' end, to which the tRNAs corresponding amino acid is attached (by aminoacyl-tRNA synthetases). tRNAs cope with the degeneracy of the genetic code in two manners: having more than one tRNA (with a specific anti-codon) for a particular amino acid; and 'wobble' base-pairing, i.e. permitting non-standard base-pairing at the 3rd anti-codon position. The record is from RNAcentral.